CAGCCGCCGCGGGAAUACGUAGGUGGCAAGCGUUAUCCGGAAUUAUUGGGCGUAAAGCGCGCGUAGGCGGUUUUUUAAGUCUGAUGUGAAAGCCCACGGCUCAACCGUGGAGGGUCAUUGGAAACUGGAAAACUUGAGUGCAGAAGAGGAAAGUGGAAUUCCAUGUGUAGCGGUGAAAUGCGCAGAGAUAUGGAGGAACACCAGUGGCGAAGGCGGCUUUCUGGUCUGCAACUGACGCUGAUGUGCGAAAGCGUGGGGAUCAAACAGGAUUAGAUACCCCUGUAGUCCCUGUCUCUUAUAC
Molecule: ribosomal RNA, 301 nt
Filed under: uncultured bacterium
Lineage: Bacteria
Description: partial 16S ribosomal RNA
Rfam family: Bacterial small subunit ribosomal RNA
Source: RNAcentral